AGGAGGGGCCAGGGAGCCGCCUGGAACCUUUCUUCCCGGCAGCAGCCGUGCUGGGCCUACUUCCUGAUUCACACUGAUCCUAGAAGGCACCACAGAUGUGGGAGAAGGUGCCAGCAGCCUUGGCAGCCAGGGAGAUGAAGACAGCUAUUUUCAAUGCCAUGGAUACAUCAAGCACAUGCUGGAGACUGGGGAUACCAAGGGGAUUCUCACAACAGUCUUAUGGGGAGACAGCGGCCAGGCCUGAAGGUCACCAAGUGGCGAAAGCGACGGCAGGGAAGCACAAGGAGUGCAGGAAGGGACCCCUCGCCCAGACCUGCUCUCCCCAGAAAGGCACAUCCAGUGUGAGAGAAGAUAAGGACUGCACAAGUGAAAUGGAAGAGAAAUGAUUGAAUGCAGUGAGGCAGGAACCAAGGUCAUGGAAGUUCAGAGGAGACAAGAAGCUGGGAGUUGGGGAAGCUUCAUGCUGGAAAGAGUUAAACUG
RNAcentral lists this long non-coding RNA (481 nucleotides) under Dasypus novemcinctus (nine-banded armadillo). Its description in RNAcentral is "lncRNA (ENSDNOG00000050228.1)". Lineage: Eukaryota; Metazoa; Chordata; Mammalia; Cingulata; Dasypodidae. The record is from RNAcentral.